GCUGGGUGUGGUGGCGCACACCUGUAAUCCCAGCUACUCAGGAGGCUGAGGCAGGAGAAUCAUUUGAACCCAGGAGGCAGAGGUUGCAGUGAGCUAAGAUUACGCCACUGCACUCCAGCCUGGGCGAUAGAGUGAGACUCUGUCUCAA
Unclassified non-coding RNA from Callithrix jacchus (white-tufted-ear marmoset), 148 nucleotides. It matches the Rfam family "Metazoan signal recognition particle RNA". Rfam says of the family: The signal recognition particle (SRP) is a universally conserved ribonucleoprotein. It is involved in the co-translational targeting of proteins to membranes. The record is from Ensembl. NCBI's taxonomy places the organism in Eukaryota, Metazoa, Chordata, Mammalia, Primates, Cebidae.